Rana temporaria (common frog) is the source of this 1779-nucleotide long non-coding RNA. RefSeq lists it as uncharacterized. NCBI's taxonomy places the organism in Eukaryota, Metazoa, Chordata, Amphibia, Anura, Ranidae. The transcript is spliced from 4 exons. The record is from RefSeq and is a predicted model, not a curated record.
GGUACAGGGAGUCGCAAUGGGCACCUCUUGUGCACCAUCAUACGCGAACCUGUACCUGGGGGGGUGGGAGCGAGAUUUAUUUUCUGUUGAAGAACCUAUUGGUUUACUUGCAUUUGUGUUGGGUUGGUUCAGGUAUAUAGAUGACGUCCUGUUACUUUGGACAGGAGGUCCCACAAAUUUGCAGGCCUUCAUGCAACUACUGAGUCGCAAUGAUUACAACCUAAAAAUUACAAUGUGUUCAAGUCAAUCGGAAAUUGCGUUCCUUGACAUCCUGAUAUACGUAAAUGAAGGGGGUAUGAUAAAUACCUCCUUAUUUCGCAAACCCACAGCAGGAAACACUAUCCUGCACGCUGCAAGCGCCCAUCCCUCUCCAUUGGUUUGGAGUAUACCAUACGGACAGUAUCUGCGUUUGCGGCGCAAUUGUUCUGACUCUAGUAAAUUCAAGGCAAAUGAGAUGAAAUUGUUGCAUUUGUUUGUGGAGUGGAUCCGUCCGCAGGAAAUAUUUAUACAUUGUUAGACGAUUUGUCCGUGAACCUCUCCUGCCAGAUCUGUCUCCUACCACUUGGAUUUUACCGGCUCCUAGGGAUCAAAGGUUGACAUAUCAAAACGCUUCCUACCAAAAUCAUCAUUGCCUAGGAGUUCAUGCAUGCCUGAUCGACAUAGCGUCACUGACGUGUAUGUCCACGUAUUCUGGUAAGAGUAUCCAUUUAUUUAUCUUUUUGGAUAUCACUGUGAAUCGUUGAUGAGGUUCCUACCACCUACACUGAUCGUUUGAUUAGUAUACCAUAGAGGAUCAUUAUUCAUCAGUCCCUUCUGAGUGGUUGUUCGUUUUUCCUUCACAAGAAGUUCGGACCAUUUCCACCUCCUAAAGACUGCACAUACUAGUCCGAUAUCGGACUGAUAUAUAUACAUAUUUUUUUGCUUGGACUUUGUGUUUGGUUUACCCCAGUUUGUUAUCACAUACAGGUGUUAUAUCACUUAUUGUAGUGUGUUGUACACAUCUCUAAUUGGAACACCACCUCCUAGUGGUUUUCCAUAUUAUUACAUUGUUUCACACAUUUUUUAUUUCUUUCACUCACCACACUAUUCUGGAGAGUGUACUCAGCACAGGCUGUGACCCUGGGGCAUAUACGGACGCUAUAUGUACACAGUAAGUACCUGCUGACAACCUCUCAAAUCUAUCUCUAUAUCCUCUAUAUGUCUAUCUAAAACGGUGCUCUGUUUAUUAUAUGUUCACAGAGGUGUUUGCAAAACGAUCUCUGUUAUACAGGAGAUGCUGUUCCUUUAAUGAUGGAUGGCCUUGUGUUUGCCUCUAUGAGCUGUCUUUUGCCCCAGCUUUAAGUCCCCUAGUGGAUUUUUAAGGGAUUCGGUUACCUGCAUCUCUAUCCCCGACACGUCUUCUUUUGCCUGGGGACUGUAAUGUGUAUUCGCUCAUGUCAUUAUUGACAUAUUUGGCCUGGACCUGCGAUCAUCGAUCUCUAAACAUAUUUUUAUACUAUCUUCUACCAUCGGUAUAUAUUUCAUCUAUCCUUGGAGUUAUCCUGGAUGAUUAUAUCCACCGCUGUGUAUCAGAUUGUGAAAAACAUAGCUACAUAGUAUCGAUAAUCCUGUUCAUUUCGUCCUGAAGAAGCCCCACGGUGAAACACGUAGGCGACUUCAAUAGGAUUCUUUCACUAUUUUCUGGAUGGUUGUAUUGUGAUUGUAAUCAGCUGCAUUCCAUUAUACCAUUGAUAGUGUACAUUUUGUAAAUUUAUGUAAUAAAAUAUAUAUUUAUACUUC